UUUCCGUAGGUGAACCUGCGGAAGGAUCAUUAUAAAUGAAAAACGAAUAACUUCAGGGAAGAAGGGAACCUGCACGGUGACCUCCCCUGUCGGGCCACCCAAUACCUUCAAAAUGCCGCCGUCCUAGCGGUGGCAGACGAAAAAAAAAACAAGAAAAACAAAAUAGAAACAGGCACGGUGGCCCGUUCACCUUCACACAACCCUCCGAGUACCACUUCCAUGUUGCUUCCCCGCAAAUCCACCUCUUUGGUGAGCGCGGGGGAGGUCCGCAUCAAAUUCACCUGAAUGUCACAGCAGUCAGACAGCCAUUCAUGGAAACAAUAAAACUUUCAACAACGGAUCUCUUGGUUCCC
Molecule: unclassified non-coding RNA, 353 nt
Filed under: plant metagenome
Description: partial contains small subunit ribosomal RNA, internal transcribed spacer 1, and 5.8S ribosomal RNA
Source: RNAcentral